RNAcentral lists this ribosomal RNA (777 nucleotides) under uncultured Neocallimastigales. Its description in RNAcentral is "partial large subunit ribosomal RNA". It matches the Rfam family "Eukaryotic large subunit ribosomal RNA", at positions 22 to 635 of the family's 3401-position model. Lineage: Eukaryota; Fungi; Neocallimastigomycota; Neocallimastigomycetes; Neocallimastigales. The record is from RNAcentral.
GUACACGCUGUGACUAGCAUAUCAAUAAGCGGAGGAAAAGAAACUAACAAGGAUUCCCCUAGUAACGGCGAGUGAAGCGGGAAGAGCUCAAAUUUGAAAUCUUAAAGGUUUUCCCUUGACGAAUUGUAGUUUAAAGAAGUGUUUUCUGUUGAAGGUUUUGGUAAAAGUUCUUUGGAAUAGGACAUCAUAGAGGGUGAGAAUCCCGUAUUUGACCAUUUACUUUCAGAUGUUGUGAUACACUUUCAAAGAGUCGGAUUGUUUGGGAAUGCAGUCCAAAAUGGGUGGUAAAUUUCAUCUAAAGCUAAAUAUUGGCGAGAGACCGAUAGCGAACAAGUACCGUGAGGGAAAGAUGAAAAGAACUUUGAAAAGAGAGUUAAACAGUACGUGAAAUUGUCAAAAGGGAAGCGUUUGACACCAGUGUUGUUUUUCUGAAAAUCAAUUAAAGAACUGUUUAUGCUAAGCUGUUUAGACUUUAUCAGCUAUCUGUUUAGUUUUGAGCUUUUCUUUAAUGCACUUUUCAGUUAACAAGUCAACAUCAAUUUCUUUUGCUGUAAAAAAGCUUGAGGAAGGUGGCUUGAGAUUCGUCUUAAGUGUUUAUAGCCUCUUGCCUAUGCAGUCGGAGAGAUUGAGGUCUGCAGCGUAGAUCCUUCGGGGCUAAAUGCAUUUGUGCUAAGUUAUAGCAUUUUAUAGACAACUUGUUGACUAUGAUUUGUCUUGUAGCUUACUCGCUUAUGUUAUUUUACCUACGCUUAGGAUGUUGAAGAUGUAGCACAUCAU